AAAAUAAAUACCCAGUCCUAUAAAAUUUCUUUGCAUAAUCACCUACACUGCAUACCAAAUGCCACAUAAAAAUUAGAGCAUCAGCACUCUCUUCUUUCCAGAACUUUAGCUUGUCCUGACUUAUUCCUGUAACAUUCAUUGUCUUACUCUUGAUAUUCCCAGAGCUUUUCAUCCUCCUAUUUUCAUCCUCACCUCACUUUUCAGAAUUGACCAUCCACAUCAACUUCCCAGGUUCAUGGGAAUGUGCCCUCUUAAACACUGCUUUGAUUUUGAUUCUACCUUUAGCAAUGCUUUCCUUGUCAUCUUGGUUAAAAAAGUCUUCCACUUCAACAGAGUCCCAGCAGUCUCUCUUUUAAGACUGGCUUCAUGAAGGGUAGUCUUUUUCUAUUUGAUUCUGCCUCUGAAACUGGCAAAACUUACAGGAAGGAAGAGAGGAAAGAAAGAACAGAAGGGAAGUAAAGAUCACAUACAAAUGUAUCAAAUAAGUGUUUUCUGAGCUAAAAUUUCUUAGGAGUUACCAAGCAGCAAAAGAAAGAGAGAGAGAGAGAGAGGAGAAGAAAAGGAAGAAAAAGAAAAAAAAGAAGAGAAGAAGAGGAAGAAGAAGAAGGAGAAGAAGAAGAAGAAGGAGGAGGAUAUUAGCCCUUUGUCAGAUGAUAUCCAAUUGAGAACACCACAUACACCUAGUCAUCAUGUCUCUUCAGUCAGAGGACACAGCAUUUAAUGUUGAAUGCUAAAAAAGAAUUUCUGAGUCUUUCCAAGAGGAAACAAUGUUGGAAGAACCCCAGGAGUCUGUCUUCCCAAUUGCCCUGUUUUCUACUUCUCCUAAGGAUGAGAU
This 835-nucleotide long non-coding RNA is filed under the name Homo sapiens (human). RNAcentral's name for it is "non-protein coding lnc-CTH-2:2". The record is from RNAcentral. Lineage: Eukaryota; Metazoa; Chordata; Mammalia; Primates; Hominidae.